RNAcentral lists this ribosomal RNA (483 nucleotides) under Neofabraea malicorticis. RNAcentral's name for it is "eukaryotic LSU rRNA". The stretch from base 153 to 306 matches the Rfam family "5.8S ribosomal RNA". Lineage: Eukaryota; Fungi; Ascomycota; Leotiomycetes; Helotiales; Dermateaceae. The record is from RNAcentral.
UCAUGCCCUUCGGGGUAGAUCUCCCACCCGUGUUAUCAUACCAUUGUUGCUUUGGCGGGCCCGCCUCGGCCACCGGCUCCGGCUGGUGAGCGCCCGCCAGAGGACCCCAAACUCUGAAAUUUAGUGUCGUCUGAGUACUAUAUAAUAGUUAAAACUUUCAACAACGGAUCUCUUGGUUCUGGCAUCGAUGAAGAACGCAGCGAAAUGCGAUAAGUAAUGUGAAUUGCAGAAUUCAGUGAAUCAUCGAAUCUUUGAACGCACAUUGCGCCCCUUGGUAUUCCGGGGGGCAUGCCUGUUCGAGCGUCAUUACAACCCUCAAGCUCUGCUUGGUAUUGGGCGUCCCCGGCAACGGGGUGCCCUAAAAUCAGUGGCGGUGCCGUCUGGCUCUAAGCGUAGUAAAUCUCUCGCUCUGGAUGCCCGGUGGAUGCUCGCCAGUAACCCCCAAUUUUUUACAGGUUGACCUCGGAUCAGGUAGGGAUACCC